Molecule: transfer RNA, 72 nt
Filed under: Scleropages formosus (Asian bonytongue)
Lineage: Eukaryota; Metazoa; Chordata; Actinopteri; Osteoglossiformes; Osteoglossidae
Rfam family: tRNA
About the family: Transfer RNA (tRNA) molecules are approximately 80 nucleotides in length.
Source: Rfam by way of RNAcentral
UCCUCGUUAAUAUAGUGGUGUGUAUCCCUGCCUGUUAUGCGGGAGACUGGGGUUUGAUUCCCUGACGGGGAG